This is a long non-coding RNA of Drosophila pseudoobscura, 847 nucleotides long. RefSeq lists it as uncharacterized. The record is from RefSeq and is a predicted model, not a curated record. The transcript is spliced from 4 exons. NCBI's taxonomy places the organism in Eukaryota, Metazoa, Arthropoda, Insecta, Diptera, Drosophilidae.
AUUAUAAGCAUUAACGCAAAUUUCAGCAAAUGACCUUUUUAGAAAAAUGUGUGGUUUCUUUAAACCAGAAGAAAUUGCAUAUUUGUAGUCCUCGUAAUUGAGGCUCACUUGUUCGUGCGAAAGAAAGUUCUCAAAUAUGCUCAAGUGAUCAAUCAUAUCAGAGGAUUGAUCAGAAUUCAGUAGGUCUUGAAUUUUCUUAAAAUUUCCUUAGUUAAAAUCAAGUUUUGGAGUUUCCUCCGGCAGUGGACUCAAUAUCUCCGUUUGGGGCAUUGGAGGUGAGCCGGAGACGAUCGAAGAAGAACCCUAUAUCCCUCAUCGUGGUUAAUAAGCCCCCCUAUGAAAUUCUCAUUAAGAGCGUUAGCUGCCGUUACUGCACUGGAAGUGCUCCGCUUACUUUGUCAGUUCUACAACCUCUCCUAUCUACAUUUCGAAGCUCUGAUCUAACAAUGGUUGUAAAACUUUGCGAAGAUUGUCUUUCCGAGUCAAUGUCUAGAAUCAUGUCGAGAGGUCGUUGGCCUUGACCUGGUGCGAUUUUGAUAAUCCUAUCAUCAAAUGGCUGCGUCUGCUUGAGAUGCUACGAAAGGAACAAUAUCGGAUGUGAAACCAGAGAUCCAUUGCUCGUUAACUACAACAUUAUGCUUUUUAUAAAAAUCUGUGGUAACUAAAUAACGAAGUGCUUCAAAAAUUUUGGAAGGUCUAAUGGUUUCAGCCAUGAAAGCAUGAAGAUACUCUUUUCUGCGUUUGAGGUGGAGCUGAAUUACCUGGGCUUCAUGGAAAGCUCGUGGAAGCUCCUUCACGAUAUCGCUUACCGAAAUAGGGACGUUUACCACUGCCCCUUUAAUGGCAU